ACCGGUAGAGGCGCGUUUUUCACGGAAAUCGGAAGGAGACGGUCAGGUUGUGGAUCGCCGAUUGAGGGGGAAAACGCCGAAGGGCUCCUUUCACUGACAGGUCAGGUCCCCUGGGGGUAUUUCCAAAUAGGAGUACCACUGUCAUCAUGGAAUAUGAUGGAGUGCUAUGG
RNAcentral lists this non-coding RNA (170 nucleotides) under uncultured Anaerotruncus sp. RNAcentral's name for it is "Lysine riboswitch". It matches the Rfam family "Lysine riboswitch aptamer". From Rfam's summary of the family: Riboswitches are metabolite binding domains within certain messenger RNAs that serve as precision sensors for their corresponding targets. Allosteric rearrangement of mRNA structure is mediated by ligand binding, and this results in modulation of gene expression. Lineage: Bacteria; Bacillati; Bacillota; Clostridia; Eubacteriales; Oscillospiraceae. The record is from RNAcentral.